Molecule: ribosomal RNA, 468 nt
Filed under: uncultured bacterium
Lineage: Bacteria
Description: partial 16S ribosomal RNA
Rfam family: Bacterial small subunit ribosomal RNA
Source: RNAcentral
GACGAACGCUGGCGGCGUGCUUAACACAUGCAAGUCGAACGGAAAGGCCCUGCUUUUGUGGGGUGCUCGAGUGGCGAACGGGUGAGUAACACGUGAGUAACCUGCCCUUGACUUUGGGAUAACUUCAGGAAACUGGGGCUAAUACCGGAUAGGAGCUCCUGCUGCAUGGUGGGGGUUGGAAAGUUUCGGCGGUUGGGGAUGGACUCGCGGCUUAUCAGCUUGUUGGUGGGGUAGUGGCUUACCAAGGCUUUGACGGGUAGCCGGCCUGAGAGGGUGACCGGCCACAUUGGGACUGAGAGACGGACCAGACGCCUACGGGAGGCAGCAGUGGGGAAUAUUGCACAAUGGGCGGAAGCCUGAUGCAGCAACGCCGCGUGCGGGAUGACGGCCUUCGGGUUGUAAACCGCUUUCGCCUGUGACGAAGCGUGAGUGACGGUAAUGGGAAAAGAAGCACCGGCUAACUACGUG